GACGGGUACGGGUUGUGGAAGCAAGAGCCCGGAGAUGGAUUCUGAGACAUGAAUCCAGGCCCUACGGGGCGCAGCAUGCGCGAAAACUUUACAAUGCGGGAAACCGUGAUAAGGGAACACUGAGUGCUAGCAUUUAUGUUACGCUGUCCACAUGUGUAAAUAGCAUGUGAUAGCAAGGGCUGG
This 183-nucleotide ribosomal RNA is filed under the name uncultured archaeon. Its description in RNAcentral is "partial 16S ribosomal RNA". It matches the Rfam family "Archaeal small subunit ribosomal RNA", at positions 262 to 445 of the family's 1478-position model. The record is from RNAcentral.